Molecule: ribosomal RNA, 230 nt
Filed under: uncultured bacterium
Lineage: Bacteria
Description: partial 16S ribosomal RNA
Rfam family: Bacterial small subunit ribosomal RNA
Source: RNAcentral
CUAGCGGCGGACGGGUUAGUAACGCGUGGGAAUAUACCCUUCACUACGGAAUAGCCUCGGGAAACUGGGAGUAAUACCGUAUACGCCCUUUGGGGGAAAGAUUUAUCGGUGAAGGAUUAGCCCGCGUCUGAUUAGAUAGUUGGUGGGGUAAUGGCCUACCAAGUCUACGAUCAGUAGCUGGUUUGAGAGGAUGAUCAGCAACACUGGGACUGAGACACGGCCCAGACUCC